CAGCAGCCACGGUAAUACGUAGGUGGCAAGCGUUGUCCGGAAUUAUUGGGCGUAAAGGGCUCGCAGGCGGUUUCUUAAGUCUGAUGUGAAAGCCCCCGGCUCAACCGGGGAGGGUCAUUGGAAACUGGGAAACUUGAGUGCAGAAGAGGAGAGUGGAAUUCCACGUGUAGCGGUGAAAUGCGUAGAGAUGUGGAGGAACACCAGUGGCGAAGGCGACUCUCUGGUCUGUAACUGACGCCGAGGAGCGAAAGCGUGGGGAGCGAACAGGAUUAGAUACCCCUGUAGUCCCUGUCCUUAUACA
RNAcentral lists this ribosomal RNA (301 nucleotides) under uncultured bacterium. RNAcentral's name for it is "partial 16S ribosomal RNA". It matches the Rfam family "Bacterial small subunit ribosomal RNA", at positions 509 to 809 of the family's 1533-position model. The record is from RNAcentral.